RNAcentral lists this transfer RNA (85 nucleotides) under Felis catus (domestic cat). It matches the Rfam family "tRNA". From Rfam's summary of the family: Transfer RNA (tRNA) molecules are approximately 80 nucleotides in length. Lineage: Eukaryota; Metazoa; Chordata; Mammalia; Carnivora; Felidae. The record is from Rfam by way of RNAcentral.
GCCUGGAUGGCUCAGUCAGUUAAGCGUCUGACUUCAACUCAGGUCAUGAUCUCACGGUUCGUGAGUUCAAGCCCCACAUCAGGCU